This is a long non-coding RNA of Zingiber officinale, 155 nucleotides long. RefSeq lists it as uncharacterized. The transcript has 3 exons. The record is from RefSeq and is a predicted model, not a curated record. Lineage: Eukaryota; Viridiplantae; Streptophyta; Magnoliopsida; Zingiberales; Zingiberaceae.
UCACCCGCCGAUCGGAUCCAUCUCUCCCUCCGUUUCGCAGUGGUCCAAGGAAGAACAAUCUGCUGCAAUGGCUACUGCCAAUGAUACCACGUUGCAGGAAUUGGUGGACUGGAAUAUCCGUUACCAGGAGAAUUUUGGGUUUGUGUUCCUCAUCU